GCCGGCGGGCCGCGCGCUAUUGUCCGGCGGGGCCGGGCCGCGGAGCGGCAGCUGCGGCAGCGGCAGGAGGAGGAGGAGGACGAGGAGGAGGAGGAAGAAGAGCAGCCGGGCCGGGCCGGGCCGGGGCAGCCGAGAGGAGCCGCCCGUGCAAGGCGGGGGGGCCGGCCGGGCCCUCGCUCUGCAGGAUGCUGCGGCGCUGAGCACGGCGGCGAUGUGACCUACAUUCCCGCGAGGAAGGUGCCCCCCGCCCCGGGCACACGCCGGCCUCACGCUGCGGCCCCGCCAUGAAGCGGCGCAGGUGAAGCGGAGGCCGUCGCCACAGCGGGCUGCGCAUGGGAGGUGGCGGGCCAUGGCCAGCUCGGCACCAUGGCUGCGCUGGACGGAGCAGGACCUGGGCAGCGGCUCCUGGGAGCCAAAGCACUGGGAGGAAGAGGAAGAGGAGGAUUUUGAGGAGCAUGUUGGCGAGAACGGCGUCAUCGGCCUGGAGGAUGCUGCGGCCRUGGCCCGUGGGCCGAGGAGCUGCCGUUUGGCGGAGGCGCUCGGCCGGCAGGUCCUGGAUCCCGCCGCGCACGCGAUGAGUUUCAGCCGCUGGAAGCUGCAGGAGUUUGGUCUGCGGGAGCCGGGCACAGACGGGGAGGACGCCGGGAGCCCGCCACUGGGGGACGGCGAGGAGCCAGGUGACGGGACGCGGGCGGACCUGGCUUACUGGCACCCGCGGCAGGACGUGACCGAAGAGGACGAGGAGCCGGGCAGCUCGGGGGACGAGGAGAGGCCGGAGGGGCCCUGGGAGGGCGAGAGUGACGGGGAGACGUACCCGGAGCUCUCCUACGAGGGCCAGUGCGGCUCCGAGUACAGCGGCAGCCCUGAGGCGCUGCCGGACGGCCCAGCUCUCCGCGGCCCCCCUGAGAAAUCGCUCAGCUUCAGCACGGACGGUGGGGAGACGUCGGCGCCAUCCGACGCCAGCCCCAGCCCUUCCCCUGCCCGCCAACAGCAGCCAGGCCACAGAGUGCCCGGUGGCACCUCCGAGAGCCCYGGCGCCGUGGUGGAGCCGGUGUCACCCUGCCCCUCGGGCAGCAGCCCCCGGCCGAGCCCGCCGGCCGGCUCCGGCCGCUGGAGCCUGAGCCGCAGCCUCCUGCUCCACCUCUCCGCCGACGACCUCCGCGACGCCACCGGCAUCGAGGCGGAGCCCUUCCCCGAGUCCGGCGCCGAGAGCAGUGGGGAGCCGCCCGGGCCAGGGCCACCGGCAGCCGCUGGGGGCUUGGUGCCCGCC
This 1270-nucleotide long non-coding RNA is filed under the name Dromaius novaehollandiae (emu). RNAcentral describes it as "lncRNA (ENSDNVG00000019134.1)". The record is from RNAcentral. Lineage: Eukaryota; Metazoa; Chordata; Aves; Casuariiformes; Dromaiidae.